UGAAACGUAACUCGGGCGGAUUUAGGC
RNAcentral lists this non-coding RNA (27 nucleotides) under Bombyx mori (domestic silkworm). The record is from RNAcentral. Lineage: Eukaryota; Metazoa; Arthropoda; Insecta; Lepidoptera; Bombycidae.